RNAcentral lists this ribosomal RNA (601 nucleotides) under Hepatozoon canis. RNAcentral describes it as "bacterial SSU rRNA". It matches the Rfam family "Eukaryotic small subunit ribosomal RNA", at positions 183 to 771 of the family's 1831-position model. Lineage: Eukaryota; Apicomplexa; Hepatozoidae. The record is from RNAcentral.
UCAACUUUAUUAGAAGAGACGCAUUUAUUAGAUAAAAAGCCAAUGCAUGCUUUUACAGUAUGAAAAUUGGUGAUUUAUAAUAACUUAGCAAAUCGCAAAGUGAAAACAGGCGAUAAAUCAUUCAAGUUUCUGACCUAUCAGCUUUCGACGGUAUGGUAUUGGCUUACCGUGGCAGUGACGGUUAACGGGGGAUUAGGGUUCGAUUCCGGAGAGGGAGCCUGAGAAACGGCUACCACAUCUAAGGAAGGCAGCAGGCGCGCAAAUUACCCAAUUCUAACAGUUUGAGAGAGGUAGUAACAAGAAAUAACAAUACAAGGCAGUUAAAAUGCUUUGUAAUUGGAAUGAUAGAAAUUUAAACCCUUUUUAAAGUAUCAAUUGGAGGGCAAGUCUGGUGCCAGCAGCCGCGGUAAUUCCAGCUCCAAUAGCGUAUAUUAAAAUUGUUGCAGUUAAAAAGCUCGUAGUUGAAGUUCUGCUAAAAGUAACCGGUCUGCUUUGAAUAAAAGUGGUAUCUUGGUAUGUAUUUAGCAAUGAUGUCCUUUGAAGUGUUUUUUACUUUAUUGUAAUAAAGCAUAUUCAGGACUUUUACUUGAGAAAAUUAGAG